CACCCCGCCAGUCUUUUCCAUCUGUUUCAUCUACAUCUAAUUUGACCUCACCAAGUCUCUUUAAGCAUUCAACUUAGUUUUCAUAGAAACAUGCCUUUCUUUCCUCCCUGAUUUCACAUGACUAGUAACAAGAGCACCUGGUAUAAAUAGGUUUGGGGGAAGAAACAACUCUUGGUAAGCAUGCAUCUCAAUGGGUGGAAGCAGAAAGAUGGAGAGUUAGAGUGGCUAUUCAUUGGGGCCAGUUUGCAUGCUGGGGUACCAGUGGCUUCCCAGAGUGAAGGGGAAGCAUUGGUUAUUGGGGCAGGUUGGUUGAGUGGAGGUGGGUUAAGAGAGCUUCUGCACUAACAUAAAAUUAUAAAUAAGGGGAGGUUGUUAGCAAUUUGGGGACAAGAUAUUUUAUAGAAUCUUUUAUUUAAAGCGUAUACUUCAGGGUGGUAUUUUUGUCCACUUCUGUUAGAGUUUGCGUGAACUGAAUUGAAUUUGAUCAUGGGCCAGCGAUGUUAAAAUUUUGGUGAGGAAACAGCCAGACUCUCUAGUUUCAAAGGUUUAUAUGUGUUCACUGCCAGUGUAGUGUUCCAUGGAACAAGUUGACAUUUUCAUGUAGUAAGUUGUUUUCUGUUCCUGGCAAAAGAAAUCUUGGUUCCUAUGCCACAAGAAACAGAAUUGUUUUUAUUGUGAAAGGCAGGAGCAGAGAUGUGUGUUUCUUAUUUGGAUUAGAUGAGCACCUGCAGGAUUUCUUCUUUCUUUCUGCUUCCUGCCUCCUGUUGUCCUUCCUUCUGUCAAAAUGUUCAUUAGAAUGUUGCAUAAAGCAGCGUUCGGACAAUAGAUGAGUUUUUUUUUAGUAGCUCAUUUUUCCAAAUCCUCAAAAUAAUGUUUUUAGUGAUUGCAUGUUCUUGGCUUACUUUCCAUUUCUACAUCAACAGUGAUAUUGUUAUUCUAGUCAAAUGGGACAGUUGUAUUCCAGCAAUGAUCUCUGUGUGUAAGUCAGCUGCAGAGACACCACGUUCAUAUAUUAGACCUAAAUAUUUUAUCUGUAUAGAGUAGUUCUGGUACAUAAUCGAAUUUGAGCGUGGUUCUUUCGGAUCUCCUUAAAAGGUUUUACAUCCCUUGAGAAUAAAGUAACUAGUUUGAAGCGUGUCGUUCGUUGGCCCCUUGGACACAUGCAGAAGGGUGGCCAGUGAUUUCAGCCUGCUGCCUCUUCUGAUCUCAUUUUUCUUCUUCCUUUUCAGUCAGCAGCUGCAUCCAGUGCCCUGAUCUAAUUGAGCUCUUAGUAAAAGGGGUACUGUUAUACUGAGUCACAACGUCUUAUAUCAAGGGGGGGGGGGGCUAGAUUUUUUUUUUUUUAGGUCAGGACUCCAUCUUGGAGUUACAUACAAUUUUAAAACCAUAUUUCAGUUGUGUUACCUAAAUUUCUCUUCCUUUUCUUAUGCUAGUACUUGUGUUUUCUGCUUUUUCAGCUCUUUGGGGAACCUUAUUGGCCCAUCAAAAUUGCCUGAGGCAGUCUUUAGCAAUGAAUUGAGCAUUAGUGUGGAAGUCCAGGCACAUGUUGGCAGAUUUAAUUUUUAAUAGCUAGCAAUUUUCUUUGGCCAAAUCACUUAACCUCAUGGAGCUUCCAGUUUUGUUUUUUUUUUUUUGUAUAUAUAUAUUUUAAGAGCUUUACUGAGAUAUAAUUCACAUGCUAUACAAUUCACUCAAUUCAGUGUUUUUAGUAUACUCACAGAGUUGUGCAGCCAUCAGCACAAUUUUAGAACAUUUUCAUUCCCCUUAAAAAAAAUGGCAUAUACCAGUUAGCAGUCAUUACCCGUUUCCUCAGCCUCCUUCCCCCAGCCCUAAGCAACCACUAAUCAGUUUUCUAGAUUUGUGUCUUCUGGACAUUUCAUAGAAAUAGAAUCAUACAAAAUACGGCCUCUUGUGUCUGGCUUCUUUCACUUAGCAUAGUGUCUUCAAGGUUCAUAUAUGUGCUGGCAGAGAUGCAUGUCAGAAUUCAGAAUUUCAUGACUUUUUAUGGCCAAAUAAUAGUUUUCUGCACGGCUAGACUGCUCUUGGUUUAUCCGUUCGUGAACUGAUGGGCAUUUGCAUUGUUUCUACUCUUUGCCUGUUGUGAGCAACGCUGUUAUGAACACUCACAUACAAGUUUUCGUGUGGACAGAUGUUUUUAUUUCUCUCGGGUGUAUACACUCAAGGGUGAAAUUGCCCGAUCAUGUAGCUCCACGUGUAACUUUUUGAGGAAUUGCCAAACUGUUUUCCAAAAUGGCUGUUCCCAUUCUACAUUCCCACCAGGAAUCAGUGAGGGUUGCAGCGCCCCUAUAUCCUCACCAGAACUUUUAAUCCGGCCAUCCUAGUGGAUAUGAAGUGGUAUUUCAUUGUGGUUUUGAUUUGCAUUUUCCUAAUGACUGUUGGUGUUGAGCAUCUUUUCAUGCACUGAUUGCCGAUUUGUAGAUCUUUGGAGAAGUGUCUAUUUCGAUUUUUGCCUGUAUUUUUGUGGGGUUAUUUGUCUUUUUGUUGUUGAGUUGUAAGAAUUCUUUACGUAUUCCGGGUACAAGUUCUUUAUCAGAUGAUUUACAAAUAUUUUCUCCCGCUUUUUGGGGUGUCUUUUCACUUCCUUGAUGGUUUUGUUAGUAGCACAAAAGUUUUUAAUUUUGAUGCGCUUGUUUCUUUCUUUUUUAAUUUUUUAAAAUGCUUUUAUUUAUUUUUGAGAGACAGAGAGAGAGUGAGCAUGGGGGAGGGGCAGAGAGAGAUGGAGACGUGGAAUCCAAAGCAGGGUCCAAGCUCUGAGCUGUCAGCACAGAGCCUGACACGUGGCUCGAACUCAUGAACCAUGAGAUCAUGACCUGAGCUGAAAUCGGACACUGAACUGACUGAGCCACCCAGGCGCCCCUGAUGCACUCGUUUCUUAAUUUGUAAGGUUAUUCUAACUCUGAAAUUAUAUGGUCUGUUGUGAAUAUUUUCUUCUAUUUUUUCUCAUUCUCUUCCUUUCUCCUACUUUCAAAUAGUUCUCCCUUUUCCAGGACAUUUUGUAGCCUCAAAGACUGUUUAAAAACAUCCGUGUAUCUAUCUGAUACAUGUGUCUUAUGAAAUAAUCAAACUUUACAAGUAUAUGACAUAGGAAGUAGUAGUUCCCUUUCUUCAGAGAAAAUAGAGAGAGAGAGAGAGAGAGAGAGAGAGCGCGCGCGCGCAGUGGAGAGGGGCAGAGGGACAGAGGGGGAAAGAGAGAAUCUUAAACAGGCUCCAUGCCUGCCUAGCGUGGAGCCUGAUGUGGAGCUCGAUCCCAAGACCCUGGGAUCAUGACCUGAGCUGGAAUCAAGAGUCAGAUGCUCAACUGACUGGGCCACCCGGGAACCCCAUUGUUAACAUUUUAUAACCAGAUUUUCCUAUUCACGUGUUAACAUUUUAUGUUUUUUUUUUUUAAUUAAAAAGGGAUCAUACCACACAUCCAGUUUGUUACUUAUUUUUUAAUUUGAAUAAUAUAUCUCUGAUCUUCUCCCAUGUUAGUACAUUUUGCUCUAGUUUCAAUCUUUUUAAUGGCUGCCGAGUAUUCCAUUUUAUGGAUACACUAUAAUUUAUUUAAGUUAUACCCUAUUGAUAGAUUUAAUGUUGUUCCCAGCUUUUAUUAUUUUUUAUUACAAAUUAUAUCUGUUAGCCUCUCUGCACAUGUAUAUUUGCACGCUUAUGUUAGUGUUUCUAUUUCAUUUAUUGCUUUGCAUUAUUUAAUACUCAAAAGACUCAGACUUAAUUUUU
Long non-coding RNA from Neofelis nebulosa (Clouded leopard), 3738 nucleotides. RefSeq lists it as uncharacterized. The record is from RefSeq and is a predicted model, not a curated record. NCBI's taxonomy places the organism in Eukaryota, Metazoa, Chordata, Mammalia, Carnivora, Felidae. The transcript has 2 exons.